UGCGGGAACCUUUCGGACCCAGCCGCCGAAGGUGGGACAAAUGAUUGGGGUGAAGUCGUAACAAGGUAGCCGUAUCGGAAGGUGCGGCUGGAUCACCUCCUUUCUAAGGAA
This 111-nucleotide ribosomal RNA is filed under the name Sporolactobacillus sp. THM7-7. RNAcentral's name for it is "partial 16S ribosomal RNA". It matches the Rfam family "Bacterial small subunit ribosomal RNA", at positions 1431 to 1533 of the family's 1533-position model. The record is from RNAcentral. Lineage: Bacteria; Bacillati; Bacillota; Bacilli; Caryophanales; Sporolactobacillaceae.